UUCUUUAUGGGUGGUGUGUGUGUGUGUGUGUGUGUGUGAGAGAGAGGGUGUGUGUGUGUGUGACAGAGAGAGGUUGUGUGUGUGAGAGAGGUGUAUGUGUGUACAUGUCUGUGUGUGUGUGUGUGAGAGAGGUGUGUGUGAAGGAAGUGUGUGUGGGAGAGAGAGGUGUGUGUAUGUGUGUGAGAGAGAGGUGUGUGUAUGUGUGUGUGAGAGAGGUGUGUGUGAAGGAAGUGUGUGUGGGAGAGAGAGGUGUGUGUAUGUGUGUGAGAGAGAGGUGUGUGUAUGUGUGUGAGAGUGCUGUGUGUGUGUGUGUGUGUGUGAGAGAGGUGUGUGUGAAGGAAGUGUGUGUGGGAGAGAGAGGUGUGUGUAUGUGUGUGAGAGAGAGGUGUGUGUAUGUGUGUGAGAGUGCUGUGUGUGUAUGUGUGUGAGAG
Pristis pectinata (smalltooth sawfish) is the source of this 431-nucleotide long non-coding RNA. RefSeq lists it as uncharacterized. NCBI's taxonomy places the organism in Eukaryota, Metazoa, Chordata, Chondrichthyes, Rhinopristiformes, Pristidae. The transcript has 3 exons. The record is from RefSeq and is a predicted model, not a curated record.